GACGAACGCUGGCGGCGUGCUUAACACAUGCAAGUCGAACGGUGAAAGCGGAGCUUGCUCCGCUGGAUCAGUGGCGAACGGGUGAGUAACACGUGGGCAACCUGCCCCUCACUUCGGGAUAGCUCCGGGAAACCGGGGCUAAUACCGGAUAUGACCUCCUUGGGCAUCCUUGGAGGUGGAAAGUUUUUCGGUGAGGGAUGGGCCCGCAGCCUAUCAGCUUGUUGGUGAGGUAGUGGCUCACCAAGGCGACGACGGGUAGCCGGCCUGAGAGGGCGACCGGCCACACUGGGACUGAGACACGGCCCAGACUCCUACGGGAGGCAGCAGUGGGGAAUAUUGCGCAAUGGGCGAAAGCCUGACGCAGCAACGCCGCGUGCGGGAUGACGGCCUUCGGGUUGUAAACCGCUUUCAGCAGGGAAGAAGCCGCGAGGUGAUGGUACCUGCAGAAGAAGCACCGGCUAACUACGUGCCAGCCGCCGCCGUAA
This 485-nucleotide ribosomal RNA is filed under the name uncultured bacterium. RNAcentral describes it as "partial 16S ribosomal RNA". It matches the Rfam family "Bacterial small subunit ribosomal RNA", at positions 28 to 523 of the family's 1533-position model. The record is from RNAcentral.